UACGAAGGGGGCAAGCUUGUUCGGAAUUACUGGGCGUAAAGCGCGCGUAGGCGGCUUUGUAAGUUAGAGGUGAAAGCCCGGGGCUCAACCCCGGAAUGCCUUUAAGACUGCAUCGCUUGAAUCCAGGAGAGGUGAGUGGAAUUCCGAGUGUAGAGGUGAAAUUCGUAGAUAUUCGGAAGAACACCAGUGGCGAAGGCGGCUCACUGGACUGGUAUUGACGCUGAUGUGCGAAAGCGUGGGGAGCAAACAGG
Molecule: ribosomal RNA, 251 nt
Filed under: uncultured bacterium
Lineage: Bacteria
Description: partial 16S ribosomal RNA
Rfam family: Bacterial small subunit ribosomal RNA
Source: RNAcentral